CGGACGGGUGAGUAACGCGUGAGAAUCUGGCUCCCGGUCGGGGACAACAGAGGGAAACUUCUGCUAAUCCCGGAUGAGCCGAAAGGUAAAAGAUUUAUCGUCGGGAGAUGAGCUCGCGUCUGAUUAGCUAGUUGGUGAGGUAAAGGCUCACCAAGGCGACGAUCAGUAGCUGGUCUGAGAGGAUGAUCUGCCACACUGGGACUGAGACACGGCCCAGGCUCCUACGGGAGGCAGCAGUGGGGAAUUUUCCGCAAUGGGCGCAAGCCUGACGGAGCAAGACCGCGUGGGGGAGGAAGGCUCUUGGGUUGUAAACCCCUUUUCUCAAGGAAGAACACAAUGACGGUACUUGAGGAAUAAGCCUCGGCUAACUCCGUGCCAGCAGCCGCGGUAAUACGGAGGAGGCAAGCGUUAUCCGGAAUGAUUGGGCGUAAAGCGUCCGUAGGUGGCAGUUCAAGUCUGCUGUCAGAGACAGUAGCUCAACUACUGAAAGGCAGUGGAAACUGAACAGCUAGAGUACGGUAGGGGCAGAGGGAAUUCCCGGUGUAGCGGUGAAAUGCGUAGAUAUCGGGAAGAACACCGGUGGCGAAAGCGCUCUGCUGGGCCGUAACUGACACUGAGGGACGAAAGCUAGGGGAGCGAAUGGGAUUAGAUACCCCAGUAGUC
This 663-nucleotide ribosomal RNA is filed under the name uncultured cyanobacterium. RNAcentral's name for it is "bacterial SSU rRNA". It matches the Rfam family "Bacterial small subunit ribosomal RNA", at positions 99 to 795 of the family's 1533-position model. The record is from RNAcentral. Lineage: Bacteria; Bacillati; Cyanobacteriota.